Non-coding RNA from Neolamprologus brichardi, 204 nucleotides. Lineage: Eukaryota; Metazoa; Chordata; Actinopteri; Cichliformes; Cichlidae. The record is from RefSeq and is a predicted model, not a curated record.
CUGGGAGUCUGUGGCUAUAAGAAAUACUUGUCAGAAAGAAAGGAGAUUUAUUCGUUCCUGGCUGAGCAGCUGAAGAGUCUGGCUUCUGCACACGGGGAGAGGUUGCUUCACACCCCGCACAACCCCAUUUCUCUGGCCAUGUCUCUAGAUGGUCUCCAGGCCAACAGCGACAAGGCGGUGACUCAGCUAGGAUCCAUGUUGUUC